UACGAAGGGGGCUAGCGUUGUUCGGAAUUACUGGGCGUAAAGCGCGCGUAGGCGGUUUUACAAGCCAGAGGUGAAAUGCCUGAGCUCAACUUAGGAAUUGCCUUUGGAACUGUAUGGCUUUGAGGACGAGAGAGGUGAGUGGAAUUCCCAGUGUAGAGGUGAAAUUCGUAGAUAUUGGGAAGAACACCGGUGGCGAAGGCGGCUCACUGGCUCGUUUCUGACGCUGUAGCGCGAAAGCGUGGGGAUCAAACAGGAUUAGAAACCCCAGUAGU
This 272-nucleotide ribosomal RNA is filed under the name uncultured bacterium. Its description in RNAcentral is "partial 16S ribosomal RNA". It matches the Rfam family "Bacterial small subunit ribosomal RNA", at positions 524 to 794 of the family's 1533-position model. The record is from RNAcentral.